CUGAUCUGGGAAGAAAAGUAGGCUGAAGCAAGAAGAGGACAUAGGUUCGGUCUCCAGAAGCACCAUUAUUCAAGGAUCCCUCUCCCUUCAGUGUACAAGGAAGGGAAGCAAGGAAAGUCUUGCUGAAUUUCUUGCCUGGAACGUGUCUGCCUCUUAAUUCCACCUGUCCAGGUGCUCUGGAUCCUUUAGAGGCCUUGAAUAUUCCCGACUCCACUUAUACUUAUUGUCUGUAUCAGCAGAGGGAAAAGAAUACAAACCACAAAGAAGAAAUAUGUGCUUAUUAUUAAAAUUUCGAACAUUGCCCAAGUAUAGAAAGUGAAUUAAGUGUCACCCUUAAUUCCAACAUUUGGAAUGUAUCCUUUCAUUCUGUGAGUAUAUACAGAUCAUUACAAAUAUAGUUUUUCCACAAAAGGGCAUAUUACUCUGUAAUAUACUUUUUCCUUUUAACAAAUACAUCGUGGACGGCUCCUCUUGAUUAGUGCCUAGUGGUCUACCUUAUUAUUUCCAAAGAGCGUGGCCAUUUAAAAUUAAAUUUGUUGUUAAUCUUCAUACUUCUUGUCAGAAGAGCUCAGUUGGGAUCAGCUGAAGAAAGUGAUGUCAUUUUAGGCC
This 609-nucleotide long non-coding RNA is filed under the name Canis lupus familiaris (dog). RNAcentral describes it as "lncRNA (ENSCAFG00000052468.1, ENSCAFG00845009939.1)". The record is from RNAcentral. Lineage: Eukaryota; Metazoa; Chordata; Mammalia; Carnivora; Canidae.